This 564-nucleotide ribosomal RNA is filed under the name Leptammina flavofusca. RNAcentral's name for it is "partial 18S ribosomal RNA". The stretch from base 1 to 460 matches the Rfam family "Eukaryotic small subunit ribosomal RNA", at positions 1220 to 1501 of the family's 1831-position model. Lineage: Eukaryota; Foraminifera; Astrorhizida; Saccamminidae. The record is from RNAcentral.
GGGUCCGGACACACUGAGGAUUGACAGGCAAUUAUUGCUAACAGUUUCUUUUUUUAAAAGUACUGUUGCAACAACAAAUAUGCUAGUCCUUUCAUGAUUAUGUGAUAGGUGGUGCAUGGCCGUUCUUAGUUCGUGGAGUGAUCUGUCUGCUUAAUUGCGUUUCAUUAUGGACCAUGUUAUAACAUGUACUAUCUCUUGAUUUUCAAAUUUUCAUUUAUUUGAGAUUUGUUAUAAAGAAGGAGUUUUGGUGCAAUUGGUCCUGAAAGCAACGAACGUGACCGCAUCCUCUUGUUGCCUUUUUAACUUGGCAUUUUUUUUAAUUUAUUUUAACAUUUUUGUCAUAACAUAAGAGGCUUUCAGAAAACUAGAGGGACCGCUGCGACUUUUUUAAACCAGAGGAAGGUUGUGGCAAUAACAGGUCUGUGAUGCCCUUAGAUGUUCCGGGCUGCACACGUGCUACAAUGAUUAUUGCAGUGAGCAUCUCAUUUUAUUUUUUGUGCUUGUCUUGUCUGCGAGUUUAUUCUCAACGACGACAGCCUUAGCCUGCUUCGAAAGUUCGCAGGU